AUUGAACGCUGGCGGCAUGCCUUACACAUGCAAGUCGAACGGUAGAGUAGCAAUACUUGAGAGUGGCGAACGGGUGAGUAAUAUAUCGGAACGUGCCCAGUCGUGGGGGAUAACGUAGCGAAAGCUACGCUAAUACCGCAUACGAUCUAUGGAUGAAAGCGGGGGAGUCGCAAGACCUCGCGCGAUUGGAGCGGCCGAUAUCAGAUUAGGUAGUUGGUGAGGUAAAGGCUCACCAAGCCGACGAUCUGUAGCUGGUCUGAGAGGACGACCAGCCACACUGGGACUGAGACACGGCCCAGACUCCUACGGGAGGCAGCAGUGGGGGAAUUUUUGGACAAUGGGCGCAAGCCUGAUCCAGCAAUGCCGCGUGCAGGAUGAAGGCCUCGGUUGGUAACUAGG
Molecule: ribosomal RNA, 399 nt
Filed under: uncultured bacterium
Lineage: Bacteria
Description: bacterial SSU rRNA
Rfam family: Bacterial small subunit ribosomal RNA
Source: RNAcentral